CUCGCCGCUGUAUUUAAGACAGAGAAGUAAAAAUGUUGAGGCGAGUGAUCGGUAACAUCGCCGUCCGGCGUCAGCUUCAACGAGCUCUAUCCAGUAAAGCCGGUGGAGGAAGUGGAAAGCCAAGCGACGUUUCAGCUGCGGAGGACUCUAUGCUCCUCCGUUCCCUAAAGGAACAUUACCUCGAAGUCUCCAAGAUGACUCCUCUGUUCCUCUUCUAAAGAUUGAACCUUUUGGUUAAAAUCCAGCGCCUUCCUUCACCGUUGGAGAUUAUGAAAGGAUCCCUUGAGGGAACUGGCGCCGUUCUGAAGAAAUCUGUUGGAAAAGAAGAGAUCAGUCUCUUUGUGAUGCGGUUUGCUCAUGGAGGUGAUGAUGAUGGGAUUAACCACCUGUUCCUCCACGUUGGGGAUUCACUCUGUUUCCAUGAGGCCGAAGCUCGAGGAUUUGGAGUUGUCUGAUGAUCCUGCUCGUUACACUGGCCCUUCUUUCGAGGAGCUGGAUGAGAAGAUGAGAGAUGUAUUCCAUAGCUUCCUAGAGGAGCGAGGUGUGAACGAGAGUCUCUUCCCGUUUCUUCAAGCGUUGCUUUAUGUUAAGGAUCAUCGCAAGUUCGCAAUUUGCUGCGGUGGUUCAAAUCAGUUGGCACUUAUCUUUUCAGUCUGUUGGAAAGUGAUAGUGAAGAAGACAUUCUUGAGGAAGGUGAUGAUGAUGAUGAUUUGGAGGAAGAGCAUGAGACGCAAGUUCAUCCAGAAGCAGAGCCUGAGGUGAAGUAA
RNA transcript from Brassica rapa (field mustard), 767 nucleotides. RefSeq lists it as uncharacterized. NCBI's taxonomy places the organism in Eukaryota, Viridiplantae, Streptophyta, Magnoliopsida, Brassicales, Brassicaceae. The record is from RefSeq and is a predicted model, not a curated record.